Labeo rohita (rohu) is the source of this 3013-nucleotide long non-coding RNA. RefSeq lists it as uncharacterized. The record is from RefSeq and is a predicted model, not a curated record. Lineage: Eukaryota; Metazoa; Chordata; Actinopteri; Cypriniformes; Cyprinidae. The transcript is spliced from 2 exons.
UACUAGAAGAUGCUAAAGAGUGUUUCUAAUGCUUGUUGCUUCAUGUUUUUAUCUGUCCUACAGCACAAAAGUGAUGCACUUAUCAUUAUCUUAGUAGUACUGGGGAUUGUGUUCGACAUUGUUGUGUUUGCCAUCUGCUGCUGCUGCCCCUGCUGCUGUAUCUAUAAAAUGUGCAGAAGACCCAGACGAACGCAAGUUGUCACAGUUGUCACGAGGACGUAAGAUGUGCCCAUUUUGAUUAUACAAGACUAUUGGACGUUCUAUAGUCUUUUGGAGUUUUUAGAGUUUAUUACUUUCGCUUUCUUUCAGUUUAGUUUUCACUCUGUGACACACUGGAAAAAUGCUUUUAUUAACUAUAAAUAAAACAAAGAUUACUAUAGUUACUAUAGAUUACUAAGUUCUAGAAGAAAAUAGCAUUUCAGUCUUUCUACUUUCUACAAGCAAGGAGUCAAAAUCUUUUUUUAAAUGUAGCUUUAGUUUUUGUUAGUAUACUUUCAGUAUAUUAUUCUACUUUAGUACUAAACUGUUGAUAUGUAAAGGUGCUAAAAAAAAAAUGUUUUUUUAAAAUGUCAGCAGUUUUUGCAUUUUGAGUUUUUUUCUUUCGAGGGUCUUAAAUGAAACCGCAUUUGAAUAAUGCAUGUAACAAAAAGUCCCACUGACUUUCUGUAGCAAGUUUAAAUGUACUCGCUUUUAAGCACAGAAUGGCUGUCAAGGUAGAAAAAAGGGUUCAUUUUUUUGAUAAAGCAACCUUUGUUAGAGCAUUAUGAAUAAGCAUUCGCAGUUCCUUUCCAGACUGUAUUAUAUUGUUUCAGGUGACGUUUUUUGAGAUGAAGCCUAUGUUUUAUGUGUGUUUUUUUUUUUUUUUAAAGAGGGAAAAAGGAAACAUCAAAGAUGUCAAACUCAACAAAGUCGCCCAAACUUGCUAAAGAGUUUGGACUGACUGUUAUGCAGUGUUUGGUGAACUUGCGGCACUGAUGUAUAUGUAUAUAUAUGGGGCCCCCUACUGGUGAAAUAAUAAAAAAAAAAACUCUAGCGUUUGUAUCGUUACUAAUCAUCCUUUAUAUAUUUUAUUCUUAUUAUUUAUGUAUUUAAAUAUUUUUAAAUUCUAUACUCCUAUUUUUAUAGAUUAGUAGAGAUAGGUUAUGUUUGUUUUAAAUAUGAUCCCAGAAGUCACAUUUUACUAUAGUAAUUUGAUAUACCUUAGUACUGAAUGAUUACCAUAUUAAUUUACCAUGGUAUUGAUACUCCAACCCUUACGAAAAUGAACCAAGGUGUUAUUAUAGUAAAAAUGUAGUAACAAUGUUUUGUGGCGUAUUGGCUACCGUUUGUACAACCACAGGUUUACUACAAAUACUAUAGCAUGGUUAGUGUAGUGUAGUGGUUAGUUAAUUUUUGGUUUUGUAGUAAAACCAUGGUUAAUUUUCGUAGGGAAAGUAAUCCAAAGUUCAAAACGCUAGACAUAAACAUCAACCUUCUUGCAUCCACUUGUUACGUUUACUAUGAGGAAAACUAGCCUGUGUUGAAGUUGUGGAGAAUUUUAUGUAGGGCAAUAGCGUUUUUACGAUUUAUAAUUCACACUAAAACAUUUCUAAAUAUUAAGUUGUAGUUUUUCCCUACUUAACUGUUAAAUUUAUAUUUUAAUUGUAUGUUAAAAUAUACCUUUUCAAAUUCACAGGGUAUGGCAGUCCGUUUUAGCUUAAAAUAUUCUAAGCGUUACUCGUCGUAAUUGCAUUUUUACUAGUUAGAAUUGAAUUAGAGAGCUCUACAAUAGCGAUUCUUACUAGUAAGAAUUGUAUUGUAGAGCUCUCUAUUCAACACAACCUCAUUAUGAUAAUUGCGCCUCAUGCAUAUUCAUAACAUGGGUGAAUGCCUGUCUCGAUAGGCUCCUGGGCAGUCCAUCGCUAUAUAACGCCCUUGCAUUAUGGGUGUCCUGAGUUCGAGUUGUAGCAAAGAGUACAGAAUACCAAGAGGCGAAAUUCUGAUGCUUUUUUGGUAAGAGCCACUAGGUGGCGCUUCGGUAGCACAGCCGCCAUUUCGGAGUGAAAAUGCCAACUGGACAACAUCACAGAAGCAGACAGAAUGACAACGAAAGAGAAGUCAAAGUGGAAAUAAACGAGCUCAAUGACUGCAGGGAAGUAGUGUGUGACACGAAAAAGUGCAAAAAGUCACUAUACAUGGUUAGAUUUUUUUUUUUUUACGGAUCAGAAUCCAUCACAUCUCACGCCAAAGAUUGGCGAAUCUCACAGCCAAAUCUGAAGCGCAAUAGAAAAUUUCUUAAAUCAGUAAAUUUUAUGACUACUACAGUAAAUGUUAUAUUGUAUUAUUAUAUAUGUUUUAUGUUAUCAGUUCUGGAAUCCGACCAUUAAUUAUACAUUUGAGGCAGUUUUAGCCUUCUUUGAGUAUUUUUAUUUUAUGCAACGUUACACAUUACUAUUAUUAUUAGUUACUAUUAUAGGUCUGAAAUAUAUAUUGUUUUUAUAUUAUAUCCUAUUAUAUUGUAGGCUACGUUUUAAUUCCCUGGAACACACUACAAACAUGAUGAUCUUACAGAACAUGAUGCAUAGCUGUGUUUGUCAUAACUGAAUAAAUAAUUGUGGAGACAGUUGCUAUGUUUUUAUUUUUUACCUUAACAUUUUUUUGUUUACAGUCAUUAUUCAGGUUGUGUAUUUUAGCUUAAAUGUACGGGUUUUUUUUUUAAACAAAGCAGCUGAUAUUUGCCAUAGCAACAGCAAGAAGCUAGUGGACUGCCGAGUCGCGUUCACUCCAAAAUGGCGGAAGCGUAGGGCUGCUGCUGGGCGCCGCUGUUGCAAUGGAACAUUCUAUUGGCUUUCACUUCCUGUCAAUAUAAGUUCUUUGGUUGGGACUCGUCUACUUGCACAGCUACUUCCGCGUUCUAUUUGUUAUGGCUCGGGAGUCUCCGGUUAGCGUUCAGCGCACCUACAUACAGACAGUUUUUCAUGAGAACGCAGAUUAUUACUACACUUCAGAGCUGGAAUUUCUUUAAAAAAAACAA